Molecule: ribosomal RNA, 253 nt
Filed under: uncultured bacterium
Lineage: Bacteria
Description: partial 16S ribosomal RNA
Rfam family: Bacterial small subunit ribosomal RNA
Source: RNAcentral
UACGAGGGGGGCGAGCGUUGUUCGGAAUUAUUGGGCGUAAAGCGCGCGUAGGCGGCUUUGCAAGUCGGGUGUGAAAUUCCCAGGCUUAACCUGGGAACUGCAUUCGAGACUGCAUUGCUAGAGUAUGGGAGAGGGAAGUGGAAUUUCCGGUGUAGCGGUGAAAUGCGUAGAUAUCGGAAGGAACAUCAGUGGCGAAAGCGACUUCCUGGACCAAUACUGACGCUCAUGUGCGAAAGCGUGGGGAGCAAACAGG